AGUUUAUGAGCUUGAAUAAGCAUAUAUUUUGAAAAUAUAAGAUAGAAGAUCUAUCUUCUAUAAACUU
Molecule: transfer RNA, 67 nt
Filed under: Callimerus inbasalis
Lineage: Eukaryota; Metazoa; Arthropoda; Insecta; Coleoptera; Cleridae
Description: tRNA-Ser
Source: RNAcentral